AUGAACGCUGGCGGCGUGCCUAAUACAUGCAAGUCGAGCGAACGGACGAGAAGCUUGCUUCUCUGAUGUUAGCGGCGGACGGGUGAGUAACACGUGGAUAACCUACCUAUAAGACUGGGAUAACUUCGGGAAACCGGAGCCAAUACCGGAUGAUAUUUUGAACCGCAUGGUUCAAAAGUGAAAGACGGUCUUGCUGUCACUUAUAGAUGGAUCCGCGCUGCAUUAGCUAGUUGGUAAGGUAACGGCUUACCAAGGCAACGAUGCAUAGCCGACCUGAGAGGGUGAUCGGCCACACUGGAACUGAGACACGGUCCAGACUCCUACGGGAGGCAGCAGUAGGGAAUCUUCCGCAAUGGGCGAAAGCCUGACGGAGCAACGCCGCGUGAGUGAUGAAGGUCUUCGGAUCGUAAAACUCUGUUAUUAGGGAAGAACAUAUGUGUAAGUAACUGUGCACAUCUUGACGGUACCUAAUCAGAAAGCCACGGCUAACUACGUG
RNAcentral lists this ribosomal RNA (496 nucleotides) under uncultured bacterium. RNAcentral describes it as "partial 16S ribosomal RNA". It matches the Rfam family "Bacterial small subunit ribosomal RNA", at positions 29 to 507 of the family's 1533-position model. The record is from RNAcentral.